RNAcentral lists this ribosomal RNA (332 nucleotides) under uncultured Gemmatimonas sp. RNAcentral's name for it is "bacterial SSU rRNA". It matches the Rfam family "Bacterial small subunit ribosomal RNA", at positions 568 to 898 of the family's 1533-position model. Lineage: Bacteria; Pseudomonadati; Gemmatimonadota; Gemmatimonadia; Gemmatimonadales; Gemmatimonadaceae. The record is from RNAcentral.
CGCGUAGGCGGCCUGAUAAGUAGGGGGUGAAAUUCCGUGGCUCAACCACGGAACUGCCUUCUAAACUGCCAGGCUUGAGCACGGUAGAGGCAGAUGGAAUUCCCGGUGUAGCGGUGGAAUGCGUAGAGAUCGGGAAGAACACCAGUGGCGAAGGCGGUCUGCUGGGCCGUUGCUGACGCUGAGGCGCGACAGCGUGGGGAGCAAACAGGAUUAGAUACCCUGGUAGUCCACGCCGUAAACGAUGGGCACUAGGCGUCGGGGGGAGCGACCCUCCCGGUGCCGUAGCUAACGCUCUAAGUGCCCCGCCUGGGGAGUACGGCCGCAAGGCUGAA